UGUGGGCAAUAAACAAAUUGUUUAAGGACACUGACGGUUCACUCUGGACUCUAAGAAUCAGUUUCAAAGCAGUUAUUUGGCUCCAGCUUCACCAGAAACUCUAUUGGCUGAUCGUCUGAGUGUCAGACUCCACUGAGUCACUAUUUCUAAAAGAAGCUGAGUUAGCCACACAUCAAAAUCACACAGAUUUACUGCGUGGUGGAAUUACUAAAAGUGAACUUGAUGCAAAAGACAGAAUGUAUGUGUCUUUUGGAGGCCUGAAGACUCUUUUGUCCUCAACACAAAGAGAAUAAAUUCAACUACUCAACCCAGACUGUUGCAUUCAUUAACUAUAAGCUCCAGCCUCUUACAGAUCAAUGAAGAAAUCAUAAAAAUUGAUUAUUAGCUGUUGCUAUAACCAAGCUAUACCUUUUUCUCAGGACAGACCUUCAACUGUACCAAGUGAAGAGCUGCCAAGAAGAAGACACAAAUAAAUCAAUAAGUCAAAAGUCAGAAAGAAAUCUCUGUAUGUGUGUAUUCUUUUAUCUUUACACUGUAAGUUAGCAGUGUGCAGAUAUCUGCUGUUUAUUUUGCCAUGAAGACUUUCAUUACACAGUGAAAUAAAGGUUCGGGUUUGGACUUUGGUACUAAAAGUAAUGCACUACAAAAAGUUGUUUCUAUUUAUUUUUAUAGGCAGUAUAACAUCAGAAGACUUGGCAGGGCAAUUUUUAGAGAUGUGCUUCCCUCCUGAUUAUAAAUGAUUGGUCAUUUAGUGGACUGUUUCGGGCACUGUCUCCUCUGCUCUCUUCAUGCAUGUACACCCUUGGUCUUCUCUCUCCAGCCCCAAAAGAACUUGAGAGUAAAAACAAUCACAGAUGUCACAGCUGUU
Molecule: long non-coding RNA, 868 nt
Organism: Oreochromis aureus
Lineage: Eukaryota; Metazoa; Chordata; Actinopteri; Cichliformes; Cichlidae
Source: Ensembl